Long non-coding RNA from Solanum pennellii, 2386 nucleotides. RefSeq lists it as uncharacterized. NCBI's taxonomy places the organism in Eukaryota, Viridiplantae, Streptophyta, Magnoliopsida, Solanales, Solanaceae. The record is from RefSeq and is a predicted model, not a curated record. The transcript has 7 exons.
UGAAUUCUUGGGCAAGCAUCCACGAUCCGUGGGCCAGAAGUCCAUACCCCGGGUAUUUUUCCCAAAUCAACUCUGUCAAAACCCUAAUAAACCGUUUCUCGUGGUGGGUCGCAAUUCCAUUUGUAUCCAUCCGAGUCAGGGUACAUUCAUCGGACCCGUUCUUCCUUCAGUUUUAGCAGUGGCUUCCAUACCGAAUCUAGCUGAUUGGAUGCUCAUUUGGCCUUUUCUCUGGCUCCCCUUUGGUGAUCAAAUAAGAAUCGCUUAUUACACUAGCGUGUUUUUUUAUAAAGGAGAUAGACUAGUGUUAUUCUACAAGGAGAUUACACAGGCAAAUAUGGACUUCUUAGUUUCCUGGUUGGGCAAUAUGCAAAACAGGAGAUCAUGGAUAUGGUAUAAAAAUAGGUAAUUUGGAUAAGAGUAUCUAGAAGCAGAGGUAUUGCUUUUAAAGUACACAAAUAUUCAGCUGAUAACAAUCAAAUGGCCCCUCAAGGUAUGAGUAGUGUGUGCUCAUUUCCUAUACAAAGACCUUGAGGACAUGCAACAAGUGGGCAGUAAGACUGGCAGGGCUCUUGGUCAAAUGUCUCUCCAACUCCUUUACGCCAAGUAUUAUCAUAUUGAUGGUAAUUUGUGACCCCUCAGUGGUCGUAAUUAUUUACAUUAGGGUGUAAAAGGUACUCUAUUGAUCUAUUUUCUCGUGAAUUUGUAUUCCUGAUGUUUGGCACUUUUAGGAUAAUGGUAGCUGGUCGGUUCCAUUCAUUACUAUUGUAAUUCUCAAUGACUAUUGACUUAGCUUGUACGGUCACACUUAUUAGGCACUUGUAUGAGAGAGAUUAAUUCAACAAUAAUCCAUAUAGAAGGCUGCUAUAAUCUGUCAAUCUUAAACAAGGAUUGGGAGAAUCACAUUUCUAGAGAUCACACACUUUAUAUUGGUAUCAAAAAGAGUAAAGGAAAGAUGUAGAAAUGGUAGUUUAUUAAUUCAGCAAUGUGUAUGCAGUUAUAAAGAAGGGAGGUAUGAUAGGAUUUGCAUGCGGUUUUGUCCCACAUCGUCUCCAAAGCAAAAAACCGUUCUUUUGUUAAUCUAUUUAGCGGUCUCUACUUAUGAACUUCAACACAGCUAUUGGGCCCGCCUAAGUGCGGGCCCUUGAUGGCUCACAUUACCUUGUUGGAAGGUCCUUCCAAUAAGUUGCAGUAUGCUGCAAAUCUUGUCUGCGCGUUUGCUGGAAAGUAGGGAUCCAGGUUCUUGGCUGUCAGCACCCCUCCCCAUCUGCGAUCCAAGCAAUUAAACACACCUUUCUUGGUGCUAUCCCACCUGUGACUCAAGCAAUCAAACAAACUCUUCUUCUUGCUGCCUGUGUUUCAAAUCCAGGCUAUUAAACAACCUCUGUUGGUGCUCAAGGUAUCCCAUCUGUGAAUCGAGCAAUUAAACACACCUUUCUUGGUGCUAUCCCACCUGUGAUUCAAGCAAUCAAACAAACCUUCUUGGUGCUGCCCGAGUGACAAAUCCAAGCUAUUAAACAACCUUUCUUGGUGCUCAAGCUAUUUGGCCCGCCUAAGUGCGGGCCCUUGAUGGCUCGCAUGACCUUGUAGGGAGGUCCUUCCAGUGAGUUGCAGUAUGCUGCAAAUCUUGUCCGCGUGUUUGCUGGCACGUAGGGAUCCAGCUGUCAGCACUGGACCCGAGCUGCGAUCAAGUUAAUAAUCACACCUUUCUUAGUGCCCAAGGUAUUUAAACCAAUAAAUUGGGAUCACACAUUCAAAUCAAGAUAGAAUUUUCUGUAUCAUGCAUUUUCAAAGGUUGGAACUUGGAAGCAGAAGUUUGGAUAAGAAGUAGUCCACAUUCUCAACUGUGCAUGUGCACAUGAAGCACCAAGUAACAGCAGUAUAUGCAAUCCUCCGGCGUUCUCAUGUUCUCGGCUCUUAGCGCUGGACCCAAGCUGAUAACCAUAUCUUUCUUGGUGCUCAGUUGGAUCAUACAACUCGUGGCAUAAAUCAGAGGACUUAUUCCUGGAACGUGGUCAGUAAUACUGGGUGUCCCUUAUACAGCAGCAACAUAAAACCUUGGUCAGAAACCAGUAUUAGGCUGAAUGGUCAAUUAUCCAGGCUGUGGUGCAAACUUGCUUCAGCAAGAUUCCGAUGGAUGAACUUACGAUAGUUCCGCAGUUGCAGAAACUAUAGAAAUUAAGAUGACAGUACACUGUUUGUUUGUCUGUUGAAAUUUGUCUUGUAAUAGAGUCCAACUUGAUUGAAAACCUGAGACUGGCGGAGUCUCCUGUCAAUGACUUCAAGGUCUGUUUUGGAGUCGAAAAGUCCAAUGAUCUUCGAUUUUACAAAUAAACAACUAUGCCCCUUUUCCGAGCAAGUUGAGUUAAUUAUAUGAAUCUUCUUUGCA